RNAcentral lists this unclassified non-coding RNA (73 nucleotides) under Algibacter luteus. RNAcentral's name for it is "Arenitalea lutea Flavo-1 RNA". Lineage: Bacteria; Pseudomonadati; Bacteroidota; Flavobacteriia; Flavobacteriales; Flavobacteriaceae. The record is from RNAcentral.
UAGGGAUAGCAGAGGAAAGCCCGCAGCCCGAGGAAGGAGGAGCGAGGACUUGUAACGGAUAGCCCGACCCUUG